This 406-nucleotide ribosomal RNA is filed under the name uncultured bacterium. Its description in RNAcentral is "partial 16S ribosomal RNA". It matches the Rfam family "Bacterial small subunit ribosomal RNA", at positions 29 to 526 of the family's 1533-position model. The record is from RNAcentral.
AUUGAACGCUGGCGGCAGGCCUAACACAUGCAAGUCGAACGAGUGGCGGACGGGUGAGUAAUGUCUGGGAAACUGCCUGAUGGAGGGGGAUAACUACUGGAAACGGUAGCUAAUACCGCAAACCAUCGGAUGUGCCCAGAUGGGAUUGGCUAGUAGGUGGGGGAACGGCUCACCUAGGCGACGAUCCCUAGCUGGUCUGAGAGGAUGACCGGACACACUGGAACUGAGACACGGUCCAGACUCCUACGGGAGGCAGCAGUGGGGAAUAUUGUACAAUGGGCGAAAGCCGGAUGCAGCAAUGCCGCGUGAAUGAAGAAGGCCUUCGGGUUGUAAAGUACUUUCAGCGGGGAGGCGUUACCCGCAGAAGAAGCAACGGCUAACUACGUGCCAGCAGCCGCGGUAAUUC